UUCCCCCAGUAACUGCGAGUGAAGAGGGAAGAGCUCAUCAUUGGAAUCUGGCAGUGUUGCACUGUCCGAGUUGUAGAUGAGGAGUAGUCCGUCUGGACUGCAUGGCGUCCAAGUACAAUAGGCCGUCAGUGGGACAUCAUAGAGGGUGACAAUCCCGUCCUUGACGCUAAUGUGCAAGUCUAUUACGAUGGCUAUCUCAGAGAGUCGAGCAGUUUGGGAUUUGCUGCUUAAACAUGGGAGGUAGAUUCCUUCUAAAGCUAAAUACAGGCGAGAGACCGAUAGAGAACAAGUACCGCAAGGGAAAGAUGAAAUAGCACUCUGUGAAGGGAGUCAAAAGGCGUGAAAUUGUUGCGAGAGAAGCGAUUCAAGUCAGCGUAGCUAGGCCCAUCAAGCGUCUUCGCUUUGGACUAGCUUUGCCAGCGGUCUUGUCCCUUAAAGAGACUUGACUUGUAAUAUGUCCAGCCUGGCGUGCACAGGCAGCCCCUUCUGGGGGCCAGUGGCAUGGCUGGUGGAAUGGCUUGCAAUCGACCCGUCUUGAAACACGGACCAAGGAGUCUAACAUGUAUGCGAGUAUAAGGGUGGCAAACCCGUAUGCGCAAUGAAAGUGAUUUUCGGUGAUUGAGAAUGGCCUGAUGACCAGACAAGCAAUACAUGUCCCUCGUACGGCCAUUGCCCAAGUUCCGUGGUAGAUCCCACGAACAUGGAGUUGGAGCAUACAUGCUAGGACCCGAAAGAUGGUGAACUAUGCCUGGACAAAGCGAAGCCAAAGGAAACUCUGGUGGAGGCUUGUAGCGAUUCUGACGUGCAAAUCGAUCGUCUGAUCUGGGUAUAGGGGCGAAAGACUAAUCG
This 849-nucleotide ribosomal RNA is filed under the name Cantharellus pallens. Its description in RNAcentral is "LSU rRNA". It matches the Rfam family "Eukaryotic large subunit ribosomal RNA", at positions 75 to 937 of the family's 3401-position model. RNAcentral also lists the same sequence under 1 other name. Lineage: Eukaryota; Fungi; Basidiomycota; Agaricomycetes; Cantharellales; Hydnaceae. The record is from RNAcentral.